GGAUCGGUAGCUCAGCGGUAGAGCAGUUGACUCUUAAUCAAUUGGUCGUGGGUUCGAUCCCCACCCGGUCCACCA
RNAcentral lists this transfer RNA (75 nucleotides) under bacterium. RNAcentral's name for it is "tRNA-Lys". It matches the Rfam family "tRNA". Rfam says of the family: Transfer RNA (tRNA) molecules are approximately 80 nucleotides in length. Their secondary structure includes four short double-helical elements and three loops (D, anti-codon, and T loops). The record is from RNAcentral.